This is a long non-coding RNA of Salvelinus fontinalis (brook trout), 2517 nucleotides long. RefSeq lists it as uncharacterized. The transcript is spliced from 2 exons. The record is from RefSeq and is a predicted model, not a curated record. Lineage: Eukaryota; Metazoa; Chordata; Actinopteri; Salmoniformes; Salmonidae.
GCUCCUCGCUGGGCAGGACACGAGGGGCGGGGACCCUGGAUGUCUCAACACAGCCCAUGAUAACAAGGAAGAAGAGGAGGAAGAAGAAGAGUCUCAUGGGAUUAUGAGUUCUUGUGAAGUGUGACAAUGACUUGACUUGUGCUUUUAAAUGGAGGCAGCUGUCCAAAGGAGAGACCAGACGUGUUUAAGAUGUUGUGCUCUACACCUUUUCAGCUGGUUUCAUAUUGGACAUUGAAGGCAAAAUGUGUUUUUAUUCUUAGAAGUUUGUAAAUUAUGUGAAUAUUAAUUACAAUGGUAACACAAAAUGUAAUAACCAAAUUCGAGUAAUAUUAUUAACACAUAUCAACUCUUAACCCCAGACAGAGAGAGUAAUCCAAUGAAAAUACCCUCUGUACAUUAUUUUGGUGUAAUAGGAAAUUGGACAGUAUUAAUCGUUUUGAUGAAAUGUAAAUGCCGUUUCCUUCAGACAUUCCCUGGUUAUUAUGUACUCAACUCAACGGACACUACAAACACAUCAGGACUAUGAGAGAUUCAACCCCAUCUGAGUAGGAGCCAAUGGAUUACCAGAAUCCAUACACUGCUGUCUCUCUCUCUCUCCUAUCCAACCCCAACCUAAUGGGUCUGAACUAUGGUUGGAAAAUAGGUCUGAACUCUACCACGACAUCACAGCUCGGCCACAGAGGACCAGACAUCAUGUACACCUGAGGCCUGAGAGAUGCUGUCUAGUUUGGGGACUGUCUGUUUGAAACAGAUCUUGCUAACUUCAACUCCAGACAUCCUCAGAUAUGGUGUGAUGUCUGGUACCGUGACACUAAUAUCUUGCCCACCGGGAAUAGCUUCAAAAUGUCUGAAUAACUUUGAAGAGUCACUGUUUGGAAUCAAACACAGUUCAAGUACCAUUGAAAGACCAAUUAUAAUCCAGAGCGACUGAGGAAACAGUCAAAUCAUCCAUUCUACAACAACCAGUAUGCUCUAUCCCAUGUUUUUUUUGUGUUUUUUUUAGUCAUUUAGCAGACGCUCUUAUCCAGAGCGACUUACAGUAGAGUGCAUACAUUUUAUUACAUUUUUUACAUUUCAUUACAUUUUUACAUACUGAGACAAGGAUAUUCCUACCGGCCGAACCCUCCCUAACCCGGACGACGCUAUGCCAAUUGUGCGUCGCCCCACGGACCUCCCGGUUGCGGCUGGCUGCGACAGAGCCUGGGCGCGAACCCAGCCCAGCCUGGGCGCGAACCCAGAGACUCUGGUGGCGCAGCUAGCACUGCGAUGCAGUGCCCUAGACCAUUGUGCCACCCGGGAGGCAUGUUAACCUGAGAACUGGAUACCUCAGGAAGUAAUAUAGGCCAGGGUACAGUACAGCUACUCUCUGUGACUGGCAUACUCCUGUGCGGUUCAUCACAAGAGCAAACUGGGGAAAGGGGCAUUUAAUGGUUCUGGUCUUCACAUCAAACAACUCUGCCCUCUCUGUUGUCCUCUCUGUAAGGAUGACAAACUAUGACAAAAUGGAUGCUUACUAUUCAUGAUCCCCAUCCUAACUGUUGCCAGGUUUUAAAAUGAAUGCACUAUUAGUGCCACUAUGUUCUUUUUAAGUCAAAAAUAAAGAAAUGUAUUGUAAUUUUGUUCUAUGUUGCUAUUCUAUUGCCAGUGUUGUUGUUUUGGUUCCAUGUGUAAGAGGCAUUGAUGUGGGUGUGUAGUCCAUUAGUGUUGCACUAGUAAUCUAAUAACAUGGUAGAACAACAGGGGUCUCCAACUCUGGUCCUGGAGACCUACGCGCGGUGCAGGAUUUCUUCCAACCCGGCACUACCACAGCUGAUCCAACUUAUCAUGGUUCAGAGUCAGACUGAAGACUGUGAUCAAUUGAGUGUGUUUAGUAGGUAUGUUCGUGAUUGGUUGGAGCAAAACCCUGCACAUGCAGUCACUCUCCAGGGCCGGAGUUGGAGAACCUGUUGUUGAAGCAUGGUAUCUUAGCUAACAACAUGAUGAACAGAAUACACCACCACAACCAUAAUGUGACAGAUAAGACUCUUCGUCUGGCCCAUUCAUCUGGGUUUGCUUAGAUAAAGUUCCCCACAGCUCGUUAAGCAACUUCCACAGCAUUCAUCAUUCUGUCUUUCGUUCUCGCUCUCCCUAUUGCUCGCUCUGUCUAUCUCCGUCUCUCUCUCUCUCUCUCUCUCUCUCUCUGUAAUAUUAUGAUAAUUAAGUCCAAUGCAGACACAAGAUGUAAUCCUGCUUUACUAACAGUAAAACAUUGAGUAGCAGCUCACCAGUGAAGGCUGCUGAGGGGAGAACGGCUCAUAAUAAUGUCUGGAACAGAGCAAAUGGAAUGGCAUCAAACACAUGGAAACCAUUUUUUUGAUGUUGUUGAUACCUUUCCACUGAUUCCGCUCCAGCCAUUACUACAAGCCCGUCCUCUCCAAUUAAGGUGCCAGCAACCUCCUGUGCAGCUUACUGACUUCUGGUUCAUUUAAAUGUAAUUGAUCUGAGUUGAAAUUCUAAUAAACAAUAUGUUUCAAACUC